Rhagoletis zephyria (snowberry fruit fly) is the source of this 550-nucleotide long non-coding RNA. RefSeq lists it as uncharacterized. Lineage: Eukaryota; Metazoa; Arthropoda; Insecta; Diptera; Tephritidae. The record is from RefSeq and is a predicted model, not a curated record.
GAGGUAGACUUGGCCAACAGAUUUUUUAUUGCGGACGCGCAAACUCGCUCAUUCAAAAAUAAAAUAAAAACAAAAAAAACACAGACCAACUCUCCUGUUAUGAUGUGAUUAUCGAUUGCGAUUAUCGACGUUGAAGAAGUUACCGACGACAGCCGACGGAGCUAUCGAGGCUCGUCGCUGAACGGUACGACGUCAGAGUGAAUAAAGGAGGUCGGCCAGCCGCUGUGACAUGGGGGAGACGGACCGCCCUAAAUUGAUGAAGCAAAGAAAAUUUAUGGUCAUGAAAAAAAGAGGCGACGAGACAUGAAAAUCGAAUCGAUUGUGAAUGACAGACUGGUUGGCGGGCUGUGCCAGUCAGUGUUUCUGCGGUGCAGUGUGAUUGAAGAGCGUGUGUGCGCGCGCCAGGCGUAAUUCAAGCAAGAGCAAGAAGGACUAGGCAAAAACAAUGGCAAACAACAAUAAUAACAAAAAUGUAAACAAAUUGUAAAUCAUCAUUAGUAACGGCAACAAAGCGCCCAAACAUUAUAAAAUAGGCAGCGGCGGCAGUAUA